UACGGAGGGUGCAAGCGUUAUCCGGAUUCACUGGGUUUAAAGGGUGCGUAGGCGGGCAUGUAAGUCCGUGGUGAAAUCUCCGAGCUUAACUCGGAAACUGCCAUGGAUACUAUGUAUCUUGAAUGUUGUGGAGGUGAGCGGAAUAUGUCAUGUAGCGGUGAAAUGCUUAGAUAUGACAUAGAACACCAAUUGCGAAGGCAGCUCACUACACAAAUAUUGACGCUGAGGCACGAAAGCGUGGGGAUCAAACAGG
RNAcentral lists this ribosomal RNA (253 nucleotides) under uncultured bacterium. Its description in RNAcentral is "partial 16S ribosomal RNA". It matches the Rfam family "Bacterial small subunit ribosomal RNA", at positions 524 to 776 of the family's 1533-position model. The record is from RNAcentral.